Long non-coding RNA from Helianthus annuus (common sunflower), 3250 nucleotides. RefSeq lists it as uncharacterized. The record is from RefSeq and is a predicted model, not a curated record. The transcript has 3 exons. Lineage: Eukaryota; Viridiplantae; Streptophyta; Magnoliopsida; Asterales; Asteraceae.
UUCUAAUAUCUCUGUCCCUCUUUCCUUGACUCAUUUUCCUUUUCCUUUUACACGCCAAGGCUACAACAACAAUAGUGAUAAAUUCCCUAACUCCCACCAUUAUUGAGGGUUUUAAGUAGUUAUGAAGGGGAUAUCACGGCAGCGAUGGUGAGUCUAUGGUGCUAACAGUUCUGAAGGUUUCAAUAUCAUGGCCAUGAGCAGUUUUGUAAUGACGGAAGAUGUUGAUUCAAGUGCUCCAGCAGUGGCAACAGUAAUUCGGUGAAGAUGCGGCCAAGUCGGCACGAGUUCCGACAACUCCGGCGAUGUUCUAGAGAAGGUGAAGACAAUGGAUCAGGGGUUGCACGUCUCGUAUCACAUCAAAUCGAUGACCAUUUGGAGUCUACUUUGUUUGUCUCUCCAUCUCUCUCUAUCUCUCAUAGAUCCGCAACUGUCACUAGAGGUGUGUGACUGGUGUAAUCGUUUGGUGAUAUACCAUGUUUGCUUCUUCGGGUGCUGGAAAAUUAUAGAAAUUGUUACCGGCGAUGGUGGAAAAGAUCUUGUGUAAGAUUAAAUAUAUUUAUUUUAUAUUUAAUCUGGUAGCCAUUAUAAUUAUUUACAUUAUAUGGAUCAAAAUAUAUAACAAUCCUAUUAAAUAAUUAGUUGGUAAUUGUUGAUGGGCCCAAUUACCCUUAUUAACUAAUUAGGGUUUCCUUCUGGGUGCUUAUAUAAGGAGAAUUAUAUGGAGGUUAGGGGGUUAGACAGUUACACAAUCAGACACCCUAUUAGCCAUAACAUCAUAAUGUUCGACCUCCUUCUCCUACGGCCGAUACCCUUUUCGGUUUUCUUAACCACUAUCAUUAGAUUGCACUCUAAGGAGGAACCAGACCAAACUGACAACUAUGUCAAACACUAUUGCUGCAUAAACAUCUGGAUUCUCUGCUGGCCUGUGCUGAUGCAAUCAAAGGUAUGUUUUCAUGUUUUCCUUCAUGUAUAAACAGAACUGAACCAACAUCUUGUACCUUGUGCUUUCUUGCACAUCAAAGGACAAAAUUGUAAUUUGAGUGGGGCUGUCGGUGCACCGACUUUGUGUUUUAAGUAGUAGUAGAAUGGCACACCAAUAUAUUAUUAUUAUUAUUAUUAUUAUUAUUGUUGUUGUUGUUGUUGUGGUGGUGGUGGUGAUUAUUAUUAUUAUUAUUAUUAUUAUUAUUAUUAUUAUUAUUAUUAUAUAUUAAUAAACGAAGUCGAUGAGUAGUAACAUAAUAUAUGUGUCAGUUCAUAAUUAGUUUUUUUUUUCACAUUUUUUUUUUACCUUAUUGAAUGUGUUUAUGUAGAAUUUAUUUAGAACUUAUGGUGUUUUAUUGGUUUUGGUAAAUUGGUUGGAUUUCUGAAUUUGAUUAAUUCACGAUUAUAAUGCUUGUUCUGUGGAAUAUAAUUCUUGUUUUUUGGAACACAUUGCAUGUUAGACACACCCACCUUUUGUGUAGUGGACCAUGUUGGAACUCGAAUGGUAAAGUGAGUAAUAACUAAUAAGGUAGCGAGUAGUGGGUAGUAAGUUUAGUUAAGUGGCAUUAUAUUAUUGGACAUGGGUGUAAGUGCUUGUGGUUCUACAAAACAGUUUGUAUUUCAUCAUCACAUCUAAACAUUCGGACCAAGCAUGCAUCUUUAAUAUGUAUUUUUAACAAGUAAGCACCUUAAACGGGUCUUUAUACACACAUGAAUCAAGCACAACCUAGCAACAUCAUCACAUGGAUGGUAUGGACUCGUAAGGGACCGAGUCAAUUCGGGUUGCGAUAUGUUGGCUUGUGCCAAAUUAGCGAGGUUAGUAAAUCGUUUAACUCAUGAAUGUUAAAUAGGAGGUUAUAGAUUGAAUAGUAUCCCAUGUUAACUAUGUGACAAUUGGCACUUUUCCAUACAUUUCGUACAAUAAUUGAACAGUAAUCUGUGUUUUAAGAUCUGUGCAGGGUAUAGUUUACAAGACGAAUGAAUUUCUGAUUACUGUUAUAUACAUACAGUGGCAUUUCAUGUUGCAAGACUUUUAUCAUUACUACAUGCAACACGAUAUAGUUCUAUUAAUGCACAGAACAGAAUUGGCACCAUUAUCAGACAAACUAAAAGCACUGACGGGAGUUCAGUACUUAGACAGACAUGAUGUUAAGACACAGAAUGAGCCCCAGAACCAAGUGAUACACUAGGAUAGUGUGUAGGAAAGUAGGGAUUACAAAACUGCCUUCCUAGUGAUGACAUAGGUGCCGGAAAGUGCCAGAAACACAAUAAAACUGCAAAAUUCUGCAGAAAAUAGAUAAAUUCAGCAAUUUUCAGCAAUUUAAUAUCUAAAUAUAAUGCAGAAAAGUGGUUUAAUGGUCCAGAAUACUUUCCUAAGUGUCGGGAACCAAAACUGUCAUAAAAUACAACAUAAAGCACACUAAACUGCGCAAUUCAGCACUUUAACGAACAGUAACGAAACGAACAACCGGACACUACCCGAAACAACAAAUUUUUACUAGAAGCACUGUUUUAGCGUUACAAAGCUAGUUAUGGACACCGAACAUCAUAUUACCUCUUAUGAACACCAAACACCUAAAUCCCUAAAUUUAAUACUUGGAAUCUAACUAGAAUGAAGUAACUAAUACUUGAAAUGUUACACUUUACCCCCCCCCCCCCAUCCAAGGCCGGUUACAAAGUAGGUCCCACUUGGGAUUUUCUAGCAUUAUUUUAUUAGAUAUGUUGCUUCCUUUUUUAGACAUAAAAUCCUUUAGAGAUUGAGAUGAUGGAAGUAUUUUAUAUAAACCCACUAGUCCUAACCUUCAUAACAUUCAUUCAUCUUCAACACCCCAAACACCUCUUCUCUUCCCCUCUACCUAGGGCCUCAAGCACCCACACAUACACAUCCAUUUUCAUCCAAUUUUCAAGUAAUCCAAGGUGAUUCUAAGAUGCUAGGAGCUAAGUUAAGAAGCUUGGAGCUUUCGGAAGUUGAAGGACCUUCACCAAUUGCUUUUAUCCACUUCAUUAUCUCUAGUGAUCAUCCCUAGCCUUGAGCUAGUAGUAGUCGUGCACACUAGUAGCAGCUUGAGAUACAUUGGAUUGAAGAACGAAAAACCGUAACAAGUCGGAUCUUGGGCGCAAGUGUUGUUUCUAGAAGUAGAUUCCAAGUUUAGAUGUCAUUCACUCUUGUUGAUCUGUAACUUAGUCGAAGGUUGUGCUGUUUGAAACUUAAAUAAAUGGUGUUUGUAAUACUUUCAACUUAAUGAAUGGAUGAACAUCGUUUUGAUCA